AGAGUUUGAUCCUGGCUCAGGACGAACGCUGGCGGCGUGCCUAAUACAUGCAAGUAGAACGCUGAAGGAGGAGCUUGCUUCUCCGGAUGAGUUGCGAACGGGUGAGUAACGCGUAGGUAACCUGCCUGGUAGCGGGGGAUAACUAUUGGAAACGAUAGCUAAUACCGCAUAACAGUAGAUAUUGCAUGAUAUCUGCUUGAAAGGUGCAAUUGCAUCACUACCAGAUGGACCUGCGUUGUAUUAGCUAGUUGGUGGGGUAACGGCUCACCAAGGCGGCGAUACAUAGCCGACCUGAGAGGGUGAUCGGCCACACUGGGACUGAGACACGGCCCAGACUCCUACGGGAGGCAGCAGUAGGGAAUCUUCGGCAAUGGACGGAAGUCUGACCGAGCAACGCCGCGUGAGUGAAGAAGGUUUUCGGAUCGUAAAGCUCUGUUGUAAGAGAAGAACGAGUGUGAGAGUGGAAAGUUCACACUGUGACGGUAUCUUACCAGAAAGGGACGGCUAACUACGUGCCAGCAGCCGCGGU
RNAcentral lists this ribosomal RNA (529 nucleotides) under unidentified oral bacterium RP55-28. RNAcentral's name for it is "bacterial SSU rRNA". It matches the Rfam family "Bacterial small subunit ribosomal RNA", at positions 8 to 521 of the family's 1533-position model. The record is from RNAcentral.